GGGGGGGGGGGGGGGGGGGGGGGGGGGGGGGGGGGGGGGGGGGGGGGGGGCCAGUGCUCCCAGUUCCCCCAGUGCCCCCAGCGCCUCCAGCGCCCCCAGCGCCCCCAGUUCCCCCAGUGCUCCCAGCGCCCCCAGUGCCCCCAGUGUUCCCAGUGCUCCCAGUGCUCCCAGCGCCGAGUCAAUGGUUAACCCGCGCUCACCCCGCGCCUCCCCUCCUGACGAAGCAGCCCAGGCUCUCUGCUCCGCAGAGCUGGAGCGGCACAGGAGCCCCACACACCUCCCUGAGCACCUGGGCACAGCUCUGCCAACCUGUCAGUCCAGCCAUGCAAGAAGAGAGGGAGAGAGACAGAGCAAA
RNAcentral lists this long non-coding RNA (355 nucleotides) under Ficedula albicollis (Collared flycatcher). RNAcentral describes it as "lncRNA (ENSFALG00000024414.1)". Lineage: Eukaryota; Metazoa; Chordata; Aves; Passeriformes; Muscicapidae. The record is from RNAcentral.